Molecule: transfer RNA, 71 nt
Organism: Dacryopinax sp.
Lineage: Eukaryota; Fungi; Basidiomycota; Dacrymycetes; Dacrymycetales; Dacrymycetaceae
Rfam family: tRNA
About the family: Transfer RNA (tRNA) molecules are approximately 80 nucleotides in length. Their secondary structure includes four short double-helical elements and three loops (D, anti-codon, and T loops). Further hydrogen bonds mediate the characteristic L-shaped molecular structure. tRNAs have two regions of fundamental functional importance: the anti-codon, which is responsible for specific mRNA codon recognition, and the 3' end, to which the tRNAs corresponding amino acid is attached (by aminoacyl-tRNA synthetases). tRNAs cope with the degeneracy of the genetic code in two manners: having more than one tRNA (with a specific anti-codon) for a particular amino acid; and 'wobble' base-pairing, i.e. permitting non-standard base-pairing at the 3rd anti-codon position.
Source: Rfam
GCGUUGUUAGUACAUCGGUAGUAUUCCAGCCUUCCAAGCUGGAGAGCUGGGUUCGAUUCCCAGGCAACGCA